This 2917-nucleotide long non-coding RNA is filed under the name Homo sapiens (human). Its description in RNAcentral is "HSALNT0354329". The record is from RNAcentral. Lineage: Eukaryota; Metazoa; Chordata; Mammalia; Primates; Hominidae.
ACCUAUUGAUAUUCACUCCAUCACAGGACUUGGAACAGUUUUGCUAGCAGAAAAUACGACUCUCUUCUAUGCUGUGGUAAAAUAGUACAACCACAAGGCCAGGAUCCAUAGAAUGUGACCAGCUGUUUCAGUGGUUUUCUGUUACUAUUUGUGAAGUCUUCAUUCUUGUCAUCUCUAGCAGAAGAGUGGUGCCAGUUGCCAGAGGUUUGAGGAAAAAGAAGUCAUGGGAGAAUUUACAUUUCAGAAAAUUCCAUUCAUUGACUUAAUUAUUUCUGGGAAUUCAGAAAAGACCACCAUGAUCCUUUAGCCGCGAAAACACUUGGGCCAGUUUUGGAAAUGCUAGAAUCCUGCAGGAGAAGCUUUUGAGAAAUUCAGUACUGUGCAGUGUUGUAACCCGAAUACUUUGCUGGAGAAAGGGUUACUGAGAGAUCAUAUUCACAAAUCAACGUGCAAUAGUGAAAAAAGAUGGCAACACUGAAGAACCUUACUGAAUAACCCACGAAGGUCAUAUGAUAGCUGCUUAAUAAAAUUUGCUGAUCGAAUGAAGGAGCUAAUGAAUUCAAUAAAAUCAGGGAAGGCUUCUUGGAGGAGGAGCACCUUGCUCCAGUGGGCUGAGAAGACAUUCCAUGAGACCAGAGCAAGGAGAGGAGUGGCCUGGCAGCUGAAGCCAGAGACAGACUUGAACCUGGAGUUUACCUUUUUGAGAGUUAAAUCUGUGUGGAGGAGGAAAGGAGGAGAGACUAGAAGCGGAGAGGCCCUUUGGAGGCUCUGGUUCAGGCAAAAAAGGAUGGGCUGUGAAUUCCUGCAUUUAUCUACCUUUGUUUUCCUGUGUAGACACAAGGCUGCCUGGCCUCUCAGAGAAUCUUCACAUCAAACCUAGGAGAAAGGUACUAUUAUCAUCUCUAAGUUACAAAAAUGGGAACUGAGCCACCAAAUGGCUAAGUGGUUUGCCUAAGAACACAGCGCUGGGCAGACAGAGGAACCAGGGGACUUAGGCCUUGCCAAGGAGGUGACAGUUGGACUGGCCUGGAGGGACUGGCCUGGAAAGAACAGCUACAGUAUGGCCACAGGGUUCCGGGAUGGCCAAGGAGGCCCAUCUCACCAGACCUGGCCCUGAGAAACUUCACCAGCAAGGCUUUCAAAUCGGGUGCGUGAUUGCUACGACGUGAGUUCCCUUCCAGUAGGGCCUGCAGCUGCUCUGUCCUCCUGGAUGGAGAAUCUGACUCCAACUCAGCUUCCCAAACCACACACAAUUCCAAGAUGAGACUGGUCUUCCUCUGGGGGACCAAGGAGAAAUGUGGUAAUUUAGACUCUCAAAGACUCUUCCUAAAAAGCUGGGCUGUUAAGGAAUCCACUCCAAGCGAUCACCAUCUGUGGCAGGCAGCUGGUGGAAUAGACAGAACUGUUUUGACAUCAGAUGAACUAGAAUUUGAAUACUGGUUUAGUCCUGUCUAGCUGUAGGGAUUUGAAGGGAAAUACAGUUUUUCUUUCGGAAAACCAGGACAAUAAUAUUGUACUAGAUUUGUGAGGUUAAAGAUAUAGAAGGUAUAGACAGCUAGGAGGUGUUGGGAGAUUGGGGCUUCUAUUCUUUGUUUUGCAUUAUUAUUCUUAGCAAAGCCACUUACAGGGUGUCUGAAGAAGCAUCCCUUUCUUUGGCUCCAGAGUGUGAGUAGAGUUUAUUAGGGUCCCCCUGGCUUUUGGGUCCACCCAGUUUCUUCUGCAGACAAUGUUUGGACUGAACUUCACUCUCUGUACAAUGAGGAAACCUGUUUUAAAGGCCUCACUUGUCAAAAAAACAGCCAUAAAACAGACUUAAUGAGACUUCUGGAUACAGCCAGGCCCAUGUGAUUGGCUGCUCCAGGGCAGGCAAGGCUGGAAUUCAGGGCUCUGAACGUGCUGGCCGGCUGCGCUCCAGCCCCGGUCUGUGCUGGUGGUGUUCCGUGUGCUCUGUCCGCCUCUCCUUUAACUUCCCUGAUAAAAUGCUUACUUGGAUAUUGUUCUGAGAUGAUUGAUUGUUAAAUGCCCUGCAAAUACAAAACUAGGCUGCUAAGUCACACUCGAGAGAAGUCCAGGAAAUCCUCUAGUUGAAUGUUACAGCCGGCUUCUCCUGAAUAGAGGCACAGCAGCAGAUUUCACCUAGCCAACCCGUUUGCUUUUUAAAUGGGGAGACCGAGGCCCUGAAAGGGGAAAGCACUUACAUAAUAUGUAUGUUUUAUUACAACUAAAAAAAAAAAAGACAGAGAGAAAGACGAAUAGACAAGGCCCUCGUAGACCAGGAGGAUGGCAGACUCACUGGAUUCAUGCUGGGUGGGGGGCCUCUCUAAGCUCUUUCCCCCACUCUACCUUUCUGCUCCUUCUCCUUUAUUCCCCAUAGAUAGAGAGCAGUUUUUCCUCCUAGUACCAAAUGUGGAUGGUGGCAUAUUCUUUCCCUUUUACAGAAAUAUUAAAUCCCCCCAGGUCACACAGCUGUGUUGUCUGGGUGGUGGCUGAACCAGGAUUCCAUCUCAGGUGUGUCUGAUGGCCAUCACGAUACCACUGUAAAGCUGAGCUCAUUGACUAACGCUUAGGAAGUGGAGGGCCUUACAUUCUAGAUUCCAACCUUCGCCUACAACAAAGGAAACUGCCGGUAUUUUCCCAUUGCUAGUGACCUCUGCUUUCUUGUGACCAACAAGUAAGCAAGUCAAGUCCAUUUGUUAAGCUCUGUGACUCUUUUCAUUGUUAGGAAAAUUUGGACUUCAAAGUGAGGGAGUUUUGGGGGAUGCUUGGCCUCUUUGGGACCGAGAGGGUGAGGACAGCUGUUUUCUUGUUCAAUUGGCAGCCCUGGAUUAAAUUUCUAAUUUUCUUCCUCACCUAUUUCCUCCCUGUUUCCUAUAAGCUUAGCCCUUUUCCUGGCACAUAGUAGGUGUUCAAUAAAUAU